This 68-nucleotide transfer RNA is filed under the name Marmota monax (woodchuck). It matches the Rfam family "tRNA". From Rfam's summary of the family: Transfer RNA (tRNA) molecules are approximately 80 nucleotides in length. Their secondary structure includes four short double-helical elements and three loops (D, anti-codon, and T loops). Further hydrogen bonds mediate the characteristic L-shaped molecular structure. tRNAs have two regions of fundamental functional importance: the anti-codon, which is responsible for specific mRNA codon recognition, and the 3' end, to which the tRNAs corresponding amino acid is attached (by aminoacyl-tRNA synthetases). tRNAs cope with the degeneracy of the genetic code in two manners: having more than one tRNA (with a specific anti-codon) for a particular amino acid; and 'wobble' base-pairing, i.e. permitting non-standard base-pairing at the 3rd anti-codon position. The record is from Rfam by way of RNAcentral. Lineage: Eukaryota; Metazoa; Chordata; Mammalia; Rodentia; Sciuridae.
GUGGUGGCUCAGUGGUAGAGCACUCGCCUCACAUGUGUGAGGCACUGGGUUUGAUUCUCAGCACCACA